GGAAGUUUUAGCAUGGCAUAGAUUAAAUGGGUAGAAAAAAAAAACUGAAAUCAUUUGUUUAGUGAAAUGUGAAGAAUACAUUUUUGAAUCACGGGGAUUACUGACUAUUUAAAGCUUUAGCCAUGUUUAAUAUGAGCCUCCAUCAGUGUAUAUGUAGACUUAUGUACCAUAAUAAUACAGGACAUGAGAAGAAGGACAACAGAUCCUCUCUAAGGAUACAGGAAGACCUGCAGUGUUAAAAACGAAAGUCUCCUCUGCUACAAAAAAAAGCCCUUGAGAUGUGUGCUUUGGUUCUGCUGAGGGACAGUGGGAAUCCUGGCAACAAUAAGGACAGCUGUACAAACAUUUGCCUGUCUCACCAGCAAGCCCUUUGUCAAGAUCCUAAAUAAACCUGGAAACAUUAUAGAAAUCAGGCUUCCUUGAAGGGAUGUGUCACCUGGCCUGCAUGCGCAGGCUCUACAAGCUUUGUAGAGCCUGAAGGGCUUGCUGGUGCAGUACGAUGAAAAGCUAGCUCUUCUCGGCCUCUGGACUCCAAAUGUUCAAGCUUCACGCAGAUGUGUUCCCAAAGUACUUGCAUCCAAUGUUUCAAGAGCAAGAUAAGAUGCCAACCUGUCCCAGUCUUUCACACAUUUUGCAAAACAGUUUUGCAUGAUACUCCAUGAGCCUGUGACAAUAAAAAGGGGGAGAAAAGUGUACC
Oreochromis aureus is the source of this 697-nucleotide long non-coding RNA. RefSeq lists it as uncharacterized. The transcript is spliced from 3 exons. Lineage: Eukaryota; Metazoa; Chordata; Actinopteri; Cichliformes; Cichlidae. The record is from RefSeq and is a predicted model, not a curated record.